UCGGGAAUUUUGGGCAAUGGGGGAAACCCUGACCCAGCAACGCCGCGUGAAGGAUGAAGUAUUUCGGUAUGUAAACUUCGAAAGAAUAGGAAGAAUAAAUGACGGUACUAUUUAUAAGGUCCGGCUAACUACGUGCCAGCAGCCGCGGUAAUACGUAGGGACCAAGCGUUGUUCGGAUUUACUGGGCGUAAAGGGCGCGUAGGCGGUGUGUCAAGUCAGUUGUGAAAUCUCCGAGCUUAACUCGGAACGGUCAACUGAUACUGUCACACUAGAGUACAGAAGGGGCAAUCGGAAUUCUUGGUGUAGCGGUGAAAUGCGUAGAUAUCAAGAGGAACACCUGAGGCGAAGGCGGGUUGCUGGGCUGAUACUGACGCUGAGGCGCGAAAGCUAGGGUAGCAAACGGGAUUAGAUACCCCGGUAGUCCCUGAGCGGGCUGGCAAGGCGCAU
RNAcentral lists this ribosomal RNA (447 nucleotides) under uncultured bacterium. Its description in RNAcentral is "bacterial SSU rRNA". It matches the Rfam family "Bacterial small subunit ribosomal RNA", at positions 355 to 825 of the family's 1533-position model. The record is from RNAcentral.